RNAcentral lists this non-coding RNA (31 nucleotides) under Mus musculus (house mouse). The record is from RNAcentral. Lineage: Eukaryota; Metazoa; Chordata; Mammalia; Rodentia; Muridae.
UCCCAGUAGGAGGGAAAAGGUCCCUCGAUUG